RNAcentral lists this ribosomal RNA (190 nucleotides) under uncultured Staphylococcus sp. RNAcentral describes it as "partial 16S ribosomal RNA". It matches the Rfam family "Bacterial small subunit ribosomal RNA", at positions 150 to 334 of the family's 1533-position model. The record is from RNAcentral. Lineage: Bacteria; Bacillati; Bacillota; Bacilli; Caryophanales; Staphylococcaceae.
UCGGAAACCGGAGCUAAUACCGGAUAAUAUUUUGAACCGCAUGGUUCAAAAGUGAAAGACGGUCUUGCUGUCACUUAUAGAUGGAUCCGCGCUGCAUUAGCUAGUUGGUAAGGUAACGGCUUACCAAGGCAACGAUGCAUAGCCGACCUGAGAGGGUGAUCGGCCACACUGGAACUGAGACACGGUCCAG